GUGCUCGCUUCGGCAGCACAUAUACUAAAAUUGGAGCGAUACAGAGAAAAUUAGCGUGGCCCCUGCGCAAGGA
This 73-nucleotide small nuclear RNA is filed under the name Cervus elaphus hippelaphus. The record is from RNAcentral. Lineage: Eukaryota; Metazoa; Chordata; Mammalia; Artiodactyla; Cervidae.